GCGGUGAGGCAGCACAGCGGUGAGGCAGCCCAGCGGUGAGGCAGCCUAGCGGUGAGGUAUCCUACCGGUAAGGUAUCCUAGCGGUGAGGCAGCCUAGAGGUGAGGUAUCCUACCGGUGAGGUAUCCUACCGGUGAGGUAUCCUAGCGGUGA
This is a long non-coding RNA of Oncorhynchus keta (chum salmon), 151 nucleotides long. RefSeq lists it as uncharacterized. The transcript is spliced from 3 exons. The record is from RefSeq and is a predicted model, not a curated record. NCBI's taxonomy places the organism in Eukaryota, Metazoa, Chordata, Actinopteri, Salmoniformes, Salmonidae.